ACGGGAGGCAGCAGUGAGGAAUAUUGGUCAAUGGGCGAGAGCCUGAACCAGCCAAGUAGCGUGAAGGAUGACUGCCCUAUGGGUUGUAAACUUCUUUUGUUCGGGAAUAAAGGAGCCUACGCGUAGGCUUUUGCAUGUACCGUUCGAAUAAGCAUCGGCUAAUUCCGUGCCAGCAGCCGCGGUAAUACGGAAGAUGCGAGCGUUAUCCGGAUUUAUUGGGUUUAAAGGGAGCGUAGGCGGCCUUUUAAGUCAGCGGUCAAAUGUCAGCGCCCAACGCUGGCCUGCCGUUGAUACUGAUGGGCUUGAAUACACACAAGGAAGGUGGAAUUCGUCGUGUAGCGGUGAAAUGCUUAGAUAUGACGAAGAACACCGAUUGCGUAGGCAGCUGACCAGGCCGUAAAUGACGCUCAUGCACGAAAGUGCGGGGAUCGAACAGGAUUAGAUACCCUGGUA
Molecule: ribosomal RNA, 453 nt
Filed under: uncultured Paraprevotella sp.
Lineage: Bacteria; Pseudomonadati; Bacteroidota; Bacteroidia; Bacteroidales; Prevotellaceae
Description: partial 16S ribosomal RNA
Rfam family: Bacterial small subunit ribosomal RNA
Source: RNAcentral